Molecule: ribosomal RNA, 480 nt
Filed under: Micromonospora aurantiaca (nom. illeg.)
Lineage: Bacteria; Bacillati; Actinomycetota; Actinomycetes; Micromonosporales; Micromonosporaceae
Description: bacterial SSU rRNA
Rfam family: Bacterial small subunit ribosomal RNA
Source: RNAcentral
CCUGAUGCAGCGACGCCGCGUGAGGGAUGACGGCCUUCGGGUUGUAAACCUCUUUCAGCAGGGACGAAGCGUAAGUGACGGUACCUGCAGAAGAAGCGCCGGCCAACUACGUGCCAGCAGCCGCGGUAAGACGUAGGGCGCGAGCGUUGUCCGGAUUUAUUGGGCGUAAAGAGCUCGUAGGCGGCUUGUCGCGUCGACCGUGAAAACUUGGGGCUCAACCCCAAGCCUGCGGUCGAUACGGGCAGGCUAGAGUUCGGUAGGGGAGACUGGAAUUCCUGGUGUAGCGGUGAAAUGCGCAGAUAUCAGGAGGAACACCGGUGGCGAAGGCGGGUCUCUGGGCCGAUACUGACGCUGAGGAGCGAAAGCGUGGGGAGCGAACAGGAUUAGAUACCCUGGUAGUCCACGCUGUAAACGUUGGGCGCUAGGUGUGGGGGGCCUCUCCGGUUCCCUGUGCCGCAGCUAACGCAUUAAGCGCCCCGC